RNAcentral lists this ribosomal RNA (552 nucleotides) under uncultured Chloroflexota bacterium. Its description in RNAcentral is "bacterial SSU rRNA". It matches the Rfam family "Bacterial small subunit ribosomal RNA", at positions 483 to 1032 of the family's 1533-position model. Lineage: Bacteria; Bacillati; Chloroflexota. The record is from RNAcentral.
AGAAUAAGCAACGGCUAACUACGUGCCAGCANCCNCGGUAAUACGUAGGUUGCGAGCGUUAUUCGGAUCUACUGGGCGUAAAGCGCACCGAGGUGGCUUCUUAAGUUGGAUGUAAAAUCUCCCGGCUUAACUGGGAGGCGCCAUUCAAUACUGAGGAGCUUGAGGUCAGCAGGGGAAAGUGGAAUUCCCGGUGUAGUGGUGGAAUGCGUAUAGANCGGGAGGAACACCAGUGGCGAAAGCGACUUUCUGGNCUGCACCUGACACUCUAGUGNGAAAGCGUGGGGAGCAAACAGGAUUAGAUACCCUGGUAGUCCACGCCCUAAACGAUGGAUACUAGGUGUGGUAGGUAUUGACCCCUUCCGUGCCGAAGCCAACGCGUUAAGUAUCCCGCCUGGGGACUACGGCCGCAAGGUUAAAACUCAAAGGAAUCGACGGGGGCCCGCACAAGCAGCGGAGCGUGUGGUUCAAUUCGAUGCGACACGAAGAACCUNCCUAGGCUUGACAUGCAAGUGGUAGUGAAGNGAAAGCGGAACGACCCGCAAGGGAGCUUGC